This is a non-coding RNA of Lepisosteus oculatus (spotted gar), 672 nucleotides long. NCBI's taxonomy places the organism in Eukaryota, Metazoa, Chordata, Actinopteri, Semionotiformes, Lepisosteidae. The record is from RefSeq and is a predicted model, not a curated record.
AGUAUUACCGCACCUCUGUCUGCCUUUACCACAGUUUACCGCACCUCUCUGUGCUCUGACCAAAAGAGAAGACACCAGGUGUAGCAGAAGAGAUCAGCAGUUGUACACAGUUUACACACAGAGCCACAAGCCUGGAGGAAAAGCUCUUCAUCUUCAGCCCAGAUUUCAAAUAAACUUACAAACGGGGGAGUUGAUCAUUAGGAUAAUAGCAUUCAAGAUUGUCAGCUUCACUGUGGCCCUCAUCCCUUCAUUGGAUGCAGAAAUACUCCACCAUUUGCAGCGAGAGCACACCCCUUUUCCUGAUGUGCAGGCUUCUGCAUACCCCUUUUCCAGCUCAGCAGAGCUCUUUGAUAAACAUCCUCCAGUCUAUCUCCUGCUCUGCGGGUUUGGAAGCGUCAAGUGGGGUAGUAAAAUGGUGCAGCAAUGGCCGUGCUAUUCAGGUGAGCACUGGAUACCCCUGAGCUGCGCUUGCUGAAGUCUGCACCCUCAAGAGAUCCCAGCCCCGAAGCCUGGCGGGACUCUGGCGCCUUUUCACCUCCACAUGCUGUGUCUAGCAUCUGUGCAACCCACCCAUUUUACACAUGACAUAUUUUCUACUUAUUAGAAAGAGACCCCCGGACCCUUGAACCCAAUAAACGUACAGGGCCUGUAAUCAUUCGGCAUCAUACACUA